GUAGGUGGCAAGCGUUGUCCGGGAAUUAUUGGGGCGUAAAGCGCGCGCAGGCGGUUCUUUAAGUCUGAUGUGAAAGCCCACGGGCUCAACCGUGGAGGGUCAUUGGAAACUGGAGAACUUGAGUACAGAAGAGGAAAGCGGAAUUCCACGUGUAGCGGUGGAAUGCGUAGAGAUGUGGAGGAACACCAGUGGCGAAGGCGGCUUUCUGGUCUGUAACUGACGCUGAGGCGCGAAAGCGUGGGGAGCAAACAGGAUUAGAUACCCUGGUAGUCCACGCCGUAAACGAUGAGUGCUAAGUGUUAGGGGGUUUCCGCCCCUUAGUGCUGCAGCUAACGCAUUAAGCACUCCGCCUGGGGAGUACGGCCGCAAAGGCUGA
RNAcentral lists this ribosomal RNA (376 nucleotides) under uncultured organism. RNAcentral's name for it is "partial 16S ribosomal RNA". It matches the Rfam family "Bacterial small subunit ribosomal RNA", at positions 527 to 897 of the family's 1533-position model. The record is from RNAcentral.